RNAcentral lists this long non-coding RNA (327 nucleotides) under Meriones unguiculatus (Mongolian gerbil). Its description in RNAcentral is "lncRNA (ENSMUGG00000021609.1)". The record is from RNAcentral. Lineage: Eukaryota; Metazoa; Chordata; Mammalia; Rodentia; Muridae.
GGAAGUUCUCCACUGUGAAGCUGUGGGCUGAAGUGAAACAUCCCAGGGAGACAUGUUGGAAGCCCUCCCACAGGCUGUCCACCUAAGGAAAGCACUGUUCUGAGGUGCUGACUAUCUAGAUGAUGGUGUCCCAUACUUGCAAACGUGCUGGCAGCCAGAUGCCACAGGAGUUGCAAAGCAGCACAACCCAAGGCCCUGCUUCCCGUAGCUGCAGCCAUCACAGAAGUCAGGACACAGCCCCAGAAGCCGCUGCACAAGAGUGCAUGGUUAAAGCUGACCAGUUCCCACAUGUCUGGCAUCACACCUACUCUGCAGCUGAGACUUCAG